Molecule: small RNA, 127 nt
Filed under: Xenorhabdus koppenhoeferi
Lineage: Bacteria; Pseudomonadati; Pseudomonadota; Gammaproteobacteria; Enterobacterales; Morganellaceae
Description: t44 RNA
Rfam family: t44 RNA
About the family: This family consists of a number of bacterial RNA genes of between 135 and 170 bases in length. The t44 gene is found between the map and rpsB genes in all species in the full alignment apart from Shigella flexneri.
Source: RNAcentral
AAUAAACUCAUUAUGUGUAAAUAACACACACGGGUCGGCACAUACACCGGGGUGCUCUCAUGCGGCUAAUCAUAUGGGUAGCUUGCAGCUAAAGAGUCGGUGUCAUGGGACCUGUGGAGGCAUAACC